Molecule: ribosomal RNA, 449 nt
Filed under: uncultured bacterium
Lineage: Bacteria
Description: partial 16S ribosomal RNA
Rfam family: Bacterial small subunit ribosomal RNA
Source: RNAcentral
AACGAACGCUGGCGGCAUGCCUAACACAUGCAAGUCGAACGACAUCUUCGGGUCUCGUGGCGCACGGGUGCGUAACGCGUGGGAAUCUGCCCUUUGGUUCGGAAUAACAGUUGGCAGCGACCGCUAAUACCGGAUGAUGACGAACUUCCAAAGAUUUAUCGCCAGAGGAGUACCCCGCGUAGGAUUAGCUAGUUGGUGUGGUAAAGGCGCACAAAGGCGACGAUCCUUCGCUGGUCUGAGAGGAUGAUCAGGCACACUGGUACUGAGACACGGCCCCUUCUCCCACGGGAGGCAGUAGUGGGGAGUAUUGGAUAAUGGCGGCAACCCUGAUCCAGUAAUUCCGCGUGGGUGUUGAAGGCCAUCGGGUAGUAAAGCUCUUUCUGCGGGCAAGAUGAUGACGGUACCCGCAGAAGAAGCCCCGGGUAACUUCGUGCCCGCCGCCGCGGUAA